UUUCCGUAGGUGAACCUGCGGAAGGAUCAUUACAAAUCCAUCCACGUCUCUCUCACCCGAGACCACGUCUAACUGUUCGCCCCCCACCCGAGAGGGACGGGGAGGCGCAUCCUAUAUACCAUGAGCCAUUGUGCGUUGCUUCAUAUGUGUAUAUAUUACAACACACACUGCUCGAAACAACUUAUAACAAUGGAUCUCUAGGCUCUU
RNAcentral lists this unclassified non-coding RNA (207 nucleotides) under root metagenome. RNAcentral's name for it is "partial contains small subunit ribosomal RNA, internal transcribed spacer 1, and 5.8S ribosomal RNA". The record is from RNAcentral.